This 478-nucleotide ribosomal RNA is filed under the name uncultured bacterium. RNAcentral describes it as "partial 16S ribosomal RNA". It matches the Rfam family "Bacterial small subunit ribosomal RNA", at positions 28 to 507 of the family's 1533-position model. The record is from RNAcentral.
GAUGAACGCUGGCGGCGUGCUUAACACAUGCAAGUCGAACGGGAAAUAUUUCAUUGAGACUUCGGUGGAUUUGAUUUAUUUCUAGUGGCGGACGGGUGAGUAACGCGUGGGUAACCUGCCUUAUACAGGGGGAUAACAGUCAGAAAUGGCUGCUAAUACCGCAUAAGCGCACAGAGCUGCAUGGCUCAGUGUGAAACACUCCGGUGGUAUAAGAUGGACCCGCGUUGGAUUAGCUAGUUGGUGGGGUAACGGCCCACCAAGGCGACGAUCCAUAGCCGGCCUGAGAGGGUGAACGGCCACAUUGGGACUGAGACACGGCCCAGACUCCUACGGGAGGCAGCAGUGGGGAAUAUUGCACAAUGGGGGAAACCCUGAUGCAGCGACGCCGCGUGAAGGAAGAAGUAUCUCGGUAUGUAAACUUCUAUCAGCAGGGAAGAUAGUGACGGUACCUGACUAAGAAGCCCCGGCUAACUACGUG